AACGAACGCUGGCGGCAUGCUUAACACAUGCAAGUCGAACGAAACGUUCGUGUUUUGUUGCGCACGGGUGCGUAACGCGUGGGAACCUGCCCUUGGGUUCGGUAUCACUCCCUGUAAGGUGUGUUCAUACCGCUUAAUGUCAUCGCACAUAAGAUGUCUUGCUUCUGGGUGGGCCCGCGUUGGUUUCGCCAGUUGGUAGUGUAAUCGCCUGUCAACGCGACGUUCCAUGGCUGGUCUGAGAGGAUGAUUAAGCACACUGGGACUGAGACACAGCCGAGACUCCGACGGAAGGCAGCAGUAGAGAGUAUUGUACAAUGAGCGAAAGCCUAGUCCAGCAGUGCCGCGGAAGUGAGGAAUGCCUUAGGAUUGUAAAGCUCUUUUACCCGAGAUGAUAAUGACAGUACCGGGAGAAUAAGCACCGGCUAACUCCGUG
This 433-nucleotide ribosomal RNA is filed under the name uncultured bacterium. RNAcentral describes it as "partial 16S ribosomal RNA". It matches the Rfam family "Bacterial small subunit ribosomal RNA", at positions 29 to 507 of the family's 1533-position model. The record is from RNAcentral.